Molecule: non-coding RNA, 123 nt
Organism: Cucumis sativus (cucumber)
Lineage: Eukaryota; Viridiplantae; Streptophyta; Magnoliopsida; Cucurbitales; Cucurbitaceae
Source: Rfam
AGGCAGCCCCUAUGCAAUUUCCAUGGCAUUGGAGGCGUUAAACUGCUCGUAGAUCGAAUUGCUUAUGCUCUUCAGACUUGCUGAGGUUUCCUCUGAAGCUGGUCUAGUAAGCCUAAGUACAUU